UAGCGGAGGAAAAGAAACCAACAGUGGUCACUGCAUGCCUCAGUAGCGGCGAGUGAAGCGGCAAGAGCUCAGAUUUGAAAUCGUGUUUCGGCACGAGUUGUAGAGUGUAGGCGGGAGUCUCUGCGGAGCGCGGCGUCCAAGUCCCUUGGAACAGGGUGCCUUAGAGGGUGAGAGCCCCGUGGGGUGCUGCGCGAAGCUUUGAGGCCCUGCUGACGAGUCGAGUUGUUUGGGAAUGCAGCUCUAAGCGGGUGGUAAAUUCCAUCUAAGGCUAAAUAUUGGCGAGAGACCGAUAGCGAACAAGUACUGUGAAGGAAAGAUGAAAAGCACUUUGAAAAGAGAGUGAAACAGCACGUGAAAUUGUUGAAAGGGAAGGGUAUUGGGCCCGACAUGGGGAGUGCGCACCGCUGUCUCUUGUAGGCGGCGCUCUGGGCGCUCUCUGGGCCAGCAUCGGUUCCCGCUGCGAGAGAAUGGGUGCCGGAAAGUGGCUCUUCGGAGUGUUAUAGCCGGCGCCAGAUGUCGCGUGUGGGGACCGAGGACUGCGGCUUCUGUCUCGGAUGCUGGCACAUCGGCGCAGAUACCGCCCGUCUU
This 588-nucleotide ribosomal RNA is filed under the name [Candida] sp. L5-2. Its description in RNAcentral is "eukaryotic LSU rRNA". It matches the Rfam family "Eukaryotic large subunit ribosomal RNA", at positions 48 to 655 of the family's 3401-position model. Lineage: Eukaryota; Fungi; Ascomycota; Saccharomycetes; Saccharomycetales. The record is from RNAcentral.